GAGGAAUAUUGGUCAAUGGGCGCUAGCCUGAACCAGCCAAGUAGCGUGAAGGACGGCUGCCCUAUGGGUUGUAAACUUCUUUUAUACGGGAAUAAAGUGAGGCACGUGUGCCUUUUUGUAUGUACCGUAUGAAUAAGGAUCGGCUAACUCC
RNAcentral lists this ribosomal RNA (151 nucleotides) under uncultured bacterium. RNAcentral describes it as "partial 16S ribosomal RNA". It matches the Rfam family "Bacterial small subunit ribosomal RNA", at positions 356 to 504 of the family's 1533-position model. The record is from RNAcentral.